GCGAAAAUAGCUCAGCUGGUAGAGCACGACCUUGCCAAGGUCGGGGUCGCG
This 51-nucleotide transfer RNA is filed under the name Chryseobacterium sp. RNAcentral describes it as "tRNA-Gly". It matches the Rfam family "tRNA", at positions 1 to 49 of the family's 71-position model. From Rfam's summary of the family: Transfer RNA (tRNA) molecules are approximately 80 nucleotides in length. The record is from RNAcentral. Lineage: Bacteria; Pseudomonadati; Bacteroidota; Flavobacteriia; Flavobacteriales; Weeksellaceae.